UUGAGGGCCCUGGAGACUGAAGUCCACUAAGUAUACACAAAAUAGGCACAAUGGAAGCACAAGAUUCCCCACUCCACUUGGGUAAUGGGACUCUCAUCUUUCAUUGAAGGGACCAUCGCUAGAGGUGUGAGGGGAAUUCAGUCACCAGGUCCAUUCAGUACUUGGCCUCU
This 170-nucleotide small RNA is filed under the name Gopherus agassizii (Agassiz's desert tortoise). RNAcentral's name for it is "TUC338 (ENSGAGG00000022388.1)". Lineage: Eukaryota; Metazoa; Chordata; Testudines; Testudinidae. The record is from RNAcentral.